GACGAACGCUGGCGGCGUGCCUAAUACAUGCAAGUAGAACGCUGAAGGAGGAGCUUGCUUCUCUGGAUGAGUUGCGAACGGGUGAGUAACGCGUAGGUAACCUGCCUGGUAGCGGGGGAUAACUAUUGGAAACGAUAGCUAAUACCGCAUAAGAGUAGAUGUUGCAUGACAUUUGCUUAAAAGGUGCAAUUGCAUCACUACCAGAUGGACCUGCGUUGUAUUAGCUAGUUGGUGGGGUAACGGCUUACCAAGGCGACGAUACAUAGCCGACCUGAGAGGGUGAUCGGCCACACUGGGCCUGAGACACGGCCCAGACUCCUACAGGAGGCAGCAGUAGGGAAUCUUCGGAAAUGGACGGAAGGCUGACCGAGCAACGCCGAGUGAGUGAAGAAGGUUUUCGGAUCGUAAAGCUCUGUUGUAAGAGAAGAAAGAGUGUGAGAGUGGAAAGUUCACACUGUGACGGUAGCUUACCAGAAAGGGACGGCUAACUACGUG
This 495-nucleotide ribosomal RNA is filed under the name uncultured bacterium. Its description in RNAcentral is "partial 16S ribosomal RNA". It matches the Rfam family "Bacterial small subunit ribosomal RNA", at positions 28 to 507 of the family's 1533-position model. The record is from RNAcentral.